Molecule: ribosomal RNA, 253 nt
Filed under: uncultured bacterium
Lineage: Bacteria
Description: partial 16S ribosomal RNA
Rfam family: Bacterial small subunit ribosomal RNA
Source: RNAcentral
UACGGAGGGUGCAAACGUUGCUCGGAAUCAUUGGGCGUAAAGCGCACGUAGGCGGUCGGCUAUGUCGGAUGUGAAAGCCUCGGGCUUAACCCGAGAAGGGCAUCCGAAACUGGCCGGCUUGAGUACGGAAGAGGGUCUCGGAAUUCCCGGUGUAGAGGUGAAAUGCGUAGAGAUCGGGAAGAACAUCGGUGGCGAAAGCGCUCUACUGGACGGUAUCUGACACUGAGGGACGAAAGCUAGGGGAGCGAAUGGG